This 407-nucleotide ribosomal RNA is filed under the name uncultured bacterium. RNAcentral's name for it is "partial 16S ribosomal RNA". It matches the Rfam family "Bacterial small subunit ribosomal RNA", at positions 30 to 526 of the family's 1533-position model. The record is from RNAcentral.
AUUGAACGCUGGCGGCAGGCCUAACACAUGCAAGUCGAGCGGAGCGGCGGACGGGCGAGUAAUGCCUAUGAAUCUGCCUGGUAGUGGGGGAUAACGUCCGGCAACGGGCGCUAAUACAGACGACUAUCUGAUGAGCCUAGGUCGGAUUAGCUAGUUGGUGGGGUAAAGGCUUACCAAGGCGACGAUCCGUAACUGGUCUGUGUGGAUGAACAGUCACACUGGAACGGAGACACGGUCCAGAAGCCUACGGGAGGCAGCAGUGGGGAAUAUUGGACAAUGGGCGAAAGCCUGAUGCAGCCAUGCCGCGUGUAUGAAGAAGGUCUUCGGGUUGUAAAGUACUUUCAGUUGGGAGGCGUUACCAACAGAAUAAGCACCGGCUAACUUCGUGCCAGCAGCCGCGGUAAUUC